UAAGCCAUUCUAUUGCUGUUACUGGCUGCUGCUGGUGGUGGUGGGUGCUACUUGUCAGCCACACCAAAUUGAAUGUCCUGCACUAAUCAUGGGUGGUAAUUUGCAGAGGACAGGUGACUGGAGAAGACCAGAGGAAGAGUCAAACUUGAAGAAAGAAGCCUGCAUACCAGAGAAUGCCAGCAAUCAACAGCAAGCUGAAACAUCUGAACAACCAGGCCCAGAGACCAACAGAGAAAAAGAAAGAGAGUGCUCCAGUCACCUAAAGAUUAGGAAGAAUAAGAAAGAUAAACUAGUAAAAGAUGAAAAAAUGUUUAAGAAGAAACCAGGAAGAAAAGCCCUUCAACUACCACCCACCUGCCCAAGAAACUAUAAGAGAACAGUAAGACCAACAAUAUUUUUAUGUUCUCACAAGACAAAUAAUACAAAGAAUAAAACCCACCAUAGCCUAAACAAAAAUCGUUGGAAUAUAAAACCAUUCCAAGUGACCUCCUGUGGAUCAAGAAAAUGUAAAGCCUGGGUUAAAAGCUUAAAACAAGCUACAGCAGUUUCAGAAGUAAAUGUGGAGGAAAGAAGAGACCCUUGAGAUCUCUUCUAGAGCCAACAAGAAAUGUGCCAGUUGGCAGCUGAAACAAAAUAUUCAAGAUGUGGGGAAAAAAAUUAUAAUUGUUUAGAAAAGUAGAACUAAUAGGUUCUCCUCUAGGAUUCAUAACAUUACCUGUUAUUGCCCUUAUCUCCCCCAAGAACUUGAAGAUGGGAUGAUGCCCGUCUACAUUUACUCAGGCAAAUCUUGUGUUUUCAAGAAUCUGCAGAUUUCAAAUGGUGUCACAUGUUCCAAAUAAUUUUACAAGUAGGAAUAACGCCUUAGCAGCUACACAGACAUCCCUGAUGCCAGUCAAACUAACACUUGAAAUGAGGAAACUUCAAUUCCAACAAUAAUCAUCCUGAUAACAGUGCUGCCCCUACUGUACCUGUGGCUCUAUUGUAACACCGCAAUCAUCAUUGCAGUUUCAAAGUACAUUGUUUGGUCCAUGGACACAUCAUCUUCUACUUUAUAGUCCACUAAUGAAGGAAAACAGGCCAGGACUUCAAGAAGUAACCAAUGACUGCACCAUUUCUGAAACAUCAAGAGAUUUCUGCUCUAAUUUCUGAGGGGCAUUAAUACGGAAGAUGAAGCCACUUGAUUUCCAAGUUGAGUUUUUAUUUCUAAAGCACUCAGGCAGAGACAUUUAUACCUUCAAGAAGUCUUCAUUCUCCACUCUAAAGACUGAUGAAAGCUUGGUUUGUGUAACCUUCAAAAUCAAGAAAUAAAGCUUCAUAUGUCAUCCUCA
Molecule: long non-coding RNA, 1328 nt
Organism: Mastomys coucha (southern multimammate mouse)
Lineage: Eukaryota; Metazoa; Chordata; Mammalia; Rodentia; Muridae
Exons: 6
Source: RefSeq, a predicted model, not a curated record